Molecule: ribosomal RNA, 644 nt
Filed under: uncultured Lachnospiraceae bacterium
Lineage: Bacteria; Bacillati; Bacillota; Clostridia; Lachnospirales; Lachnospiraceae
Description: bacterial SSU rRNA
Rfam family: Bacterial small subunit ribosomal RNA
Source: RNAcentral
GAUGAACGCUGGCGGCGUGCUUAACACAUGCAAGUCGAACGGACUUAUGAUGAAACCUAGUGAUUCAUAAGUUAGUGGCGGACGGGUGAGUAACGCGUGGGUAACCUGCCUUACACUGGGGGAUAACACUUAGAAAUAGGUGCUAAUACCGCAUAAGCGCACAGCUUCGCAUGAAGCAGUGUGAAAAACUCCGGUGGUGUAAGAUGGACCCGCGUCUGAUUAGCUAGUUGGUGAGGUAGAGGCUCACCAAGGCAACGAUCAGUAGCCGGCCUGAGAGGGUGAACGGCCACAUUGGGACUGAGACACGGCCCAAACUCCUACGGGAGGCAGCAGUGGGGAAUAUUGGACAAUGGGGGAAACCCUGAUCCAGCGACGCCGCGUGAGUGAAGAAGUAUUUCGGUAUGUAAAGCUCUAUCAGCAGGGAAGAAAAUGACGGUACCUGACUAAGAAGCCCCGGCUAACUACGUGCCAGCAGCCGCGGUAAUACGUAGGGGGCAAGCGUUAUCCGGAUUUACUGGGUGUAAAGGGAGCCUAGACGGUGCAGCAAGUCUGAAGUGAAAUCCCGGGGCUCAACCCUGGAACUGCUUUGGAAACUGUUGAACUAGAGUGCAGGAGAGGUAAGUGGAAUUCCUAGUGUAGCGGUG